This 269-nucleotide long non-coding RNA is filed under the name Mytilus galloprovincialis (Mediterranean mussel). Lineage: Eukaryota; Metazoa; Mollusca; Bivalvia; Mytilida; Mytilidae. The record is from RNAcentral.
UGGGCUAUGGCUCUAUAUAACCGAAACUGCAAAAGACUUAUUUUUUCGACUGCAAAGCCUCUCCUUAAUGUAAACAGUUGUUGUUCUGAAUGGAUCUUUUGUUUAUACCUAUUAUGUCUGUUUGUUUUGUUCACAUAUCGUUGUCAUUACAAUGGAUUUUUAAACGACUGUCAUAUAAGUGAGAGGAAACCCAGGUUAACCAAAUUAAUAUUACUCCACCACAUGUUCAUUAUGUAUGACUAUUGUUUUUUAACUUUAAGAAAAUUUCC